Long non-coding RNA from Lagopus leucura (white-tailed ptarmigan), 656 nucleotides. RefSeq lists it as uncharacterized. The transcript is spliced from 4 exons. The record is from RefSeq and is a predicted model, not a curated record. NCBI's taxonomy places the organism in Eukaryota, Metazoa, Chordata, Aves, Galliformes, Phasianidae.
AGGCUCAUGACCUGGUGAGGACUGCUGGUGGGUGAUGACAGUUUAAGUGAUCCCUAUAGUUCUGCUCAGUUGCACUGUUCAGAAUACACAAAAUCUAACUUGAUUCAGAAAGCAACUACAGCAAACAUCAAGAGAAAGAUCAAGGACAACAUAAGUAACAAGUCAGAGAUCCAAGAAGUGUUGUACAACUGCUCUCUGUUAUCACUUUCUCUCUUAGAGUUCACUCCUGGUGCUAUGUGCGCUCAUGAUCCUCAGCAGGUCUUCAGGCAUACCAUUACAUGAAAGAAACAUUUGGAGAACUGAGCUCAAAAAUUGAACUUGCUUGUCUUCCACUAUGAAACCAGAUUUGCUUAAAACAAAUUGUACAGUAGGAUAAACACUUUACUGGGAGGGAGCUGGGAUGCAAAAAGAUGAAGGGAAGCUUGCAGCAAGUCUUCACAAAUGGAUGGAUGGGGGAAGGCAGGUGGAAGGCUGUGUCUCGUGAAAGCAACCAACCAUCCAAUUCCAUUUCAAUAAUGUUUGUAAUUUUCUCCCUAUUGGGGUUGCUGGAAGAACAGCUGCCCUAUAUUUGUGACCAUGUGUCCAGCUUUUGGUGAAUAUGACCCUAACAAAUACAACACAAAACAAAUGAUAUACUUGCUGUUUUAAACUUGUGU